Molecule: ribosomal RNA, 633 nt
Filed under: Triticum aestivum (bread wheat)
Lineage: Eukaryota; Viridiplantae; Streptophyta; Magnoliopsida; Poales; Poaceae
Description: partial small subunit ribosomal RNA
Source: RNAcentral
AUGCGUCGUCGGGGGAGCCAGCGCUGCUCGGACGCCGAGGACCGGUCAUGGCACUCGCGCCAGAACUCCGCCGCCCUCGAGGACCGCGCCUCGACGUCCGCGUCCGCCCGCUCCGGCGCCGGCGCAGGGGACGGGGACAAGGAAGGCGAGGCCGCGGCCGGGCGCGACAGGAAGUCGUGCGUGUCGGAGUGCUCGCUGGACGACGUCGACCUGGAGGCCGGGCCGGCGGCCGAGAUCACCAAGGCCAGCCCCGACAAGGACGAGAUGAACUGCCGCAUCUGCCACCUCGGCCUCGAGAGCGCCGCCGCCGAGUCCGGCGGCGGCAUCGUGCUCGGCUGCUCCUGCAAGGACGACCUCUCCUGCGCCCACAAGCAGUGCGCCGAGACCUGGUUCAAGAUCAGGGGCAACAAGAUCUGCGAAAUCUGCGGCUCGACAGCGUGCAACGUGGUUGGUUUCGGUGACGCGGAGUUCAUGGAGCAGUGGAACGAGUCAGGCAACUCCGCAGCUACCCAAGCACCGGCGAACGAGAUGCGGAGGUUCUGGCAAGGCCACCGGUUCCUCAACUUCCUCCUGGCCUGCAUGGUGUUUGCCUUCGUCAUAUCCUGGCUCUUCCACUUCAACGUCCCCGGAUGA